This 856-nucleotide long non-coding RNA is filed under the name Parus major (Great Tit). RNAcentral's name for it is "lncRNA (ENSPMJG00000004625.1)". Lineage: Eukaryota; Metazoa; Chordata; Aves; Passeriformes; Paridae. The record is from RNAcentral.
GGGCCAGGCUCUCGGUGGCCACGGUGGCCACCAGGCCCGGCCGGUGCAGGUGGAGCUGCAGGGCCGGGCCGGACGCUGCGAGCGGCGACGCCUGAGGGGCUUCGGCCACGGCCGGACGGGGCCUGGGGACACCCGGGGUGGCCUUGGGGACAUCUGGGACUUCUGAGGGGACCUUGGGGUGGCCUUGGGGACACCUCAGGUGGCCUUGGGGACAUCUGGGGGGGGCAUUGGGGAUAUCUGGGGUGGCCUUGGGGACAGUUGAGGACACCUGGGGUGGCCUUGGGGACACCUGAAAUUUCUGAGGGGACCUUGGGGACACCUGAGGUGGCCUUGGGGACAUCUGGGGGGACCUUGGGGACAUCUGGGACUUCUGAGGGGACAUUUGGGGACAUCUGGGGUGGCCUUGGGGACAUCUGAGGGGACGUCUGGGUGGCCUUGGGGACAUCUGGGGUGGCCUUGAGGACAUCGGGGUGGCCUUGGGGACAUCUGGGACUUCUGAGGGGACACUGGGGACAUCUGGGGUGGCCUUGGGGACACCUCAGGUCGCCUUGGGGACACCUGGGGUGGCCUUGGGGACAUCUGGGGUGGCCUUGGGGACAUCUGGGACUUCUGAGGGGACCUUGGGGUGGCCUUGGGGACAUCUGGGGACACCAGGGGUGGCCUUGGGGACAUCUGGGGUGGCCUUGGGGACAUCUGGGGUGGCCUUGGGGACAUCUGGGGUGGCCUUGGGGACAUCUGAGGAGACAUCUGGGACAUCUGAGGUGGCCUUGGGGACAUCUGGGGACACCAGGGGUGGCCUUGGGGACAUCUGGGACUUCUGAGGGGACCUUGGUGACAUCUGGGGUGGCCUUGGGGA